Molecule: long non-coding RNA, 1914 nt
Organism: Amphiprion ocellaris (clown anemonefish)
Lineage: Eukaryota; Metazoa; Chordata; Actinopteri; Pomacentridae
Source: Ensembl
AAAAGAAUGACACUGAUGAAGACACUGAGGACAUCCAGGACAGAAAAAACAGUGAAGACAAUGAGAAACCUGUCAACAAGGAGAUAAGUGAACAUGAGGACAGUGACGAUACUGACACUGAUGAAGACACUGAGGUCAGUGAGGACAGUGAGAACAGUGACACCAGCGACGUUAGCAAAGAUUAUCAGUCCAGGAAGGUCGAGCAGAACCGUCAGUACGCUGAAGACAGCGGAAAAGAGCAGAGCAAAAAGAAAAAGAAGAAGAGGAACUGCUUCCAACGCGUCUUCUCUUGGAUGAAGAAGACGUUCUGCUGCUGCUGCUGUGUGUCCGAUGUGAUGGACUGAGCAGCACUAAUGGACUGGAUUCACAUUUCGGACUCACAGUUCCUGACCUCAGUAACCUUCGCUGGGUUUAUUGUUCUCUUGUGUUUUGAUCUGUUUUCUUUCUACUAUCCUGUUCUUUCUCUCCUUUACCUUCAGCCCAACCGGUCGAGGCAGAUGGCCGCCCUCUCAGAGCCUGGUUCUGCCGGAGGGUUCUUCCUGUUAAAAGGGAGUUUUUCCUCCCCGCUGUCGCCAAGUGCUUGCUCUAAGGGGAAUCCAAAGGAUUUGUUGGGAUUCUGUCUUUAAUUAUUAACGUAUUAAUCGUCACCUUAUCAUGUAAAGUGACUUGAGACAUCUGUUACGAACUGACAGUAUGUAAAUUAGGACAGUAGUGUUAAAUAUUAUGUACUUAAAUAGUACAAAAUAAGUACAAAAUAGAUUACAAUAUUAAUUACAUAUAGAAUAAUAUUUUAUAUUAAAAUACGCAAGUAUGUUAUUUGUAAAUAUAAUAUGCAGUAUAUACAAUACACAAUUUGUGUAUUGUAUAUAUAUAAAGUCAGACAGACUGACUGCCAGUAAGCAAAGGCUUACUCCAAAUAACGUAACUUACUUGCUAACAUAGAAUUCAAUUUAAUUCAAAAAACUAAAAUGACUUAAUCAUAAUAUAUUUUAUUUAUAAUGCACUUUUCAUUUAAGCAAAGUGCUGCAUUAAAGACAUAAAAGGAUAAAAAAAGCAGUAAAAAUAAAAAAUAAAAAAAAACAAAUUUAAAACACCUAGACCAAUUGGAUCAAAAAAUAAAUAAUUCAAAAUGAAAUGACACGUGCUUGUCUUUAAUAUACUGCGAAAGUAUUAUUACAAAAACAGUUCAUCUGAAGUCAGCUUUUUAAAAUUUGGACUACAUGACAGAUAUGACUAAUUUAUUUUCUGAUUUCUACCAAAUAUUCUAGCAGGUGAUUCGUCAUGAUGAAGAGAUGUCAGAUUGUAUGUAACGGUGUUGGUUGCUUCUGUUAGCAAGUCAACACAUUGAAGCAUUUCUGAAGAGCAUUGAACAUAUAUAUUCCUGUUAAAGUGGAGGAAGAUGAAAAUGACAGACUAGUUGACACCACUGUGAAGCCACCAAUGGAUGUAUACCAAGACAAUGUGGAGUCCAUGCAAUGCUAUGUGUGUGUGACAGAUGUCAAUGAACUACAAAGACACAUUUGUAGUUCUCCACUCCGAAUAAUUGACUAGAUUCACAUUGUGGAGUUGCGGUUCCUGGCCUCAUCAACCUGGAAGUGUUUGUUGUUCUCUUGUGCUUUGUCUGUCAGUUUUCUAUCUACUAUCCUAUUCUCUCUCCCCUUUACCCUCACCCCAACCGGUCGAGGCAGAUGGCUGCCCACCCUGAGCCUGGUUCUGCCGGAGGGUUCUUCCUGUUAAAAGGGAGUUUUUCCUCCCCACUGUUGCCAAGUGCUUGCUCAGAUGGGAAUCCAAAGGAAACUUUGGAUUUGUUGGAUUUCUCUCUAUGAUAUAUUUGAAUUGAUAAAUAAAAUUGAUUUAAAAUGAAUUGAAAGGUUCACCCAAAGUGUCUGGAUUUUGGUCACAUGGUUGUUGCUC